AGUUGCUUCUCGAGUUUGCUGGUACCCUUAUUUCUGUGGACGGACGUUAAGGAGACAUGAGCUGAUAGCGAAAUUAACGAAGCAGGCGAGGCAUGGAAGCUGCGAAGGUGACUGUGAAAGCCGUGGCUCUGAUCGCCGGAGAUAACAGCAUCAGAGGAGCUCUUCAGUUUGUGCAACACCCCGAUGGAACUACUCAUGUAAAAGGGAGAAUCACUGGGUUGUCCCCUGGCCUUCACGGAUUCCAUAUUCACGCCCUCGGUGACACCACUAAUGGCUGCAAUUCCACUGGCCCUCAUUUCAAUCCCUUCAAGAAGGACCAUGGGGCGCGAACAGAUGAUGAGCGUCAUGCUGGAGAUUUGGGUAACAUUGUUGCAGGCAUGGAUGGGGUUGCUAAUGUUUCAAUCACAGACAGACAGAUACCACUAAGUGGGGUUCAUUCCAUACUUGGAAGGGCAGUUGUUGUGCAUGCUGAUCCUGACGAUCUUGGCAGAGAUCCUAUGCAGAAAAUGUGUUUAAACUAUACUCGCGAGGUUGUUACCUGAAGUGACUUCAGAAUGAAGUUGCGGAUAUCGAGAUAUGUCCAUUUUGCAGCUAUGAUAAUUGAAAUGAAUGUGGUAACUGCACAUAUUUGCACCUAAAAGGUCAAACAAAGCUUCAAAAUCACGCCUAGGAUGUGAUGAAGGCGAACGAGUGUAGGCCUUUUAAAAGCAAAGCCAAAAGUUGAAUUUUUAUCAAUAGUUGGAGUGUACAGUGCUUCUCUAGACAGUGACACUUGAUAUUCAAGUAAAAGCAUGGCAAUCAUUACUUGAUAUACGGUCAAGGGGAGCUGGAAAUUAAAUGGCCGUGUAGUUUAUUCUCUGGGAAGGCAUAUGUUGAUUGCCAUCUAGUGUGAAUCGAAUUCUUUUUCCCUGCGAAGAGCGAAUAUUUUGUGCAUGUAUUACUCGGGUUAAAAAUAAUCUACAUGCUCAAUUAUAUUUCAGCAUUUCAGGUUAAGACAGAAGUCCAAUUUACCAUGUGUUUUCCCUCAAAUUGACCUAUUAGUAUUUACUUUUCAUUAAGGUACAAGGUUGUGAAGCACAUUUGAUCAAUUCUCUGCUAUUCAUUCCACCAAAUAAAGAAACGCAGGCGCAACUUUUAGGUGUUUGCCACCAAGUUUCUCAAUAACUUCAUGACAAAUAAUGGCUUUAGGUGGCCAUGAACUAAGCAAGACCACUGGUAAUGCUGGUGCAAGAGUAGGAUGCGGUAUCAUUGGCCUCCAAUCAUCUGUUUAAGUCUUUAAGAUGCCUCGGCUGCAGAUAGUUGACGAUCCAUAAAUGCUAUAUACGCAAACAUUGGCCAUUAGUUUUCUCGUCAGUAGUGGUCAUGCUACCACUUCGUUACUACUUUCUGAGCUUGUGCGAUGACCGUUAGAACUUAGAAGCAUGCUCUCUUCGAUGCAUGUUGGAGAUUUUCAACCUGAUGGAAGAACAUUGUGUUAUCCCCAUUAUAUGCUUUUGAUUGGGUCUUCUGUAAUAGGGUUACCAUUUUUAUAUGAAAAAAUUACUGUGUUGUAAA
RNA transcript from Prosopis cineraria, 1554 nucleotides. It is a transcript of the gene named superoxide dismutase [Cu-Zn] 2, with no coding region annotated. Lineage: Eukaryota; Viridiplantae; Streptophyta; Magnoliopsida; Fabales; Fabaceae. The transcript has 8 exons. The record is from RefSeq and is a predicted model, not a curated record.